UACGUAGGGUGCAAGCGUUAAUCGGAAUUACUGGGCGUAAAGUGUGCGCAGGCGGUUAUGCAAGACAGAUGUGAAAUCCCCGGGCUCAACCUGGGAACUGCAUUUGUGACUGCAUGGCUAGAGUGCGGCAGAGGGGGAUGGAAUUCCGCGUGUAGCAGUGAAAUGCGUAGAUAUGCGGAGGAACACCGAUGGCGAAGGCAAUCCCCUGGGCCUGCACUGACGCCCAUGCACGAAAGCGUGGGGAGCAAACAGG
Molecule: ribosomal RNA, 253 nt
Filed under: uncultured bacterium
Lineage: Bacteria
Description: partial 16S ribosomal RNA
Rfam family: Bacterial small subunit ribosomal RNA
Source: RNAcentral